Molecule: ribosomal RNA, 322 nt
Filed under: uncultured eukaryote
Lineage: Eukaryota
Description: partial 18S ribosomal RNA
Rfam family: Eukaryotic small subunit ribosomal RNA
Source: RNAcentral
CCCUUAGAUGUUCUGGGCCGCACGCGUGCUACACUGAGUGGAUCAGCGGGUCAGGUUGCGCGAAAGUGUUUCCUAAUCUUGAAAUCCGCUCGUGAUGGGGAUUGAAGGUUGCAAUUUUCCGUCAUGAACGAGGAAUACCUUGUAAGCGCGGGUCAUCAUCCCGCGCUGAAUACGUCCCUGCCCUUUGUACACACCGCCCGUCGCUCCUACCGAUUGAGUGGUCCGGUGAGGCUUUGGGAUCUGAGCGGAAAGAGCGUUUCGCUGUUUCUGCUCGGAAAACUCAGUCGAACCUUAUCAUUUAGAGGAAGGAGAAGUCGUAACA